RNA transcript from Xyrauchen texanus (razorback sucker), 2521 nucleotides. RefSeq lists it as uncharacterized. The transcript is spliced from 4 exons. The record is from RefSeq and is a predicted model, not a curated record. NCBI's taxonomy places the organism in Eukaryota, Metazoa, Chordata, Actinopteri, Cypriniformes, Catostomidae.
CCCAACCACAAUAUCUUUUCCUGUAACUCCCAGAUUCCACAUAUAUCCAUUAGAUGCAGUAGUAAUAUAUAAAUGCAGAUAUAUUGCCCAUGAAGCUCAGCUUUAUUGGAAACAUUUUUAAUAUUUUAUUGUAGAUUAAUUUAGUGUAAAAGUCUAUACUAUGAAAUGUACAAGUCAUUAUCUAUUUUGUUGUAGCUUUCAACAAUAAUACUCCCUGAAGACUGCAGUGAUUUUCUCAGGGACAGUCAGAGAAUGCAAGAGAGCACAAGAGAAUAGGUCCAGGAGAAUAUUGCACGGUCACAAAAAAAAAUGACAGGCAUUUGCAAAAAGAGUUCAGAAAAAGUACAGAAAUGUGGAGUUUAAAGAGGGAGAUGAAGUACUCUUACUGAACAUGAGAAAGAGAAGCAGGAAAGGAGGGAGAAUGGAAGCAGACUACACUGGAACCUACACAAUUAAGGAGAUUUCAGGAAAGACAACAACUUUACUAACACCACAGGGUGUCUGUCUUAAAACAAAAUAUAACAUCAGUCACCUGAAACCUUAUAAAAAAAGUAGUGCCAGCUCUCAGGUCCCAGCCCCAAGCCAGCUCUCAGGUCCCAGCCCCAAGCCAGCUCUCAGGUCCCAGCCCCAAGCCAGCUCUCAGGUCCCAGCCCCAAGCCAGCUCUCAGGUCCCAGCCCCAAGCCAGCUCUCAGGUCCCAGCCCCAAGCCAGCUCUCAGGUCCCAGCCCCAAGCCAGCUCUCAGGUCCCAGCCCCAAGCCAGCUCUCAGGUCCCAGCCCCAAGCCAGCUCUCAGGUCCCAGCCCCAAGCCAGCUCUCAGGUCCCAGCCCCAAGCCAGCUCUCAGGUCCCAGCCCCAAGCCAGCUCUCAGGUCCCAGCCCCAAGCCAGCUCUCAGGUCCCAGCCCCAAGCCAGCUCUCAGGUCCCAGCCCCAAGCCAGCUCUCAGGUCCCAGCCCCAAGCCAGCUCUCAGGUCCCAGCCCCAAGCCAGCUCUCAGGUCCCAGCCCCAAGCCAGCUCUCAGGUCCCAGCCCCAAGCCAGCUCUCAGGUCCCAGCCCCAAGCCAGCUCUCAGGUCCCAGCCCCAAGCCAGCUCUCAGGUCCCAGCCCCAAGCCAGCUCUCAGGUCCCAGCCCCAAGCCAGCUCUCAGGUCCCAGCCCCAAGCCAGCUCUCAGGUCCCAGCCCCAAGCCAGCUCUCAGGUCCCAGCCCCAAGCCAGCUCUCAGGUCCCAGCCCCAAGCCAGCUCUCAGGUCCCAGCCCCAAGCCAGCUCUCAGGUCCCAGCCCCAAGCCAGCUCUCAGGUCCCAGCCCCAAGCCAGCUCUCAGGUCCCAGCCCCAAGCCAGCUCUCAGGUCCCAGCCCCAACCAGCUCUCAGGUCCCAGCCCAAGCCAGGUCUCAGGUCCCAGCUCAAGCCAGUUCUCUGGUACCUGUCUGGAGUAGUGCUCAAGAGCAAGGUGCAAUAGAAACUCAUAAGUUAGUUCCGACCUGUUGGUCGUUGGUUUAGACCGGUUGGUCAUCAAGUUGCAUGUUUCUCCCAUGACCCGUUCCUGGUCAUGGUUGCAUGUGUUCUUUGUUGAAAAUGUUAAUGGUACAGUUUUUCAUCUAAAUAUUAACAAGAAUAAUUUGAAAUGUUCUGUGUUGCAGUCGAAAAACUUUGGUCUUCUAAAGAUACAGGACAAGUGGAAGCGGUCGUGGGACCAUACAAAAUGUAUGAUACCUCUUUUACAACACUAUCGGGACAUGGCUGGCUUUCAGAUGAGAUCAUUGAUGCAUACCUGCACUGCAUUAUGAAAUUAGCCAAGGUAAUAAAUGAUAAUUUCUGUGUUUUCAUUCUGUUGUUAGAAGUACUGGAUUUUAACAGACCAAUACUGUUACAGAUACCUGUGCAUUGUUUGAACGCUGUACUUGGGUCCUCUGUCUUUCAUCGUGGCCUUUUUAGAGUUGUUCAAAAGGUUAUAUGGUUUUAUUACAGACUAUGUAACCUUAUACACAUGCAUGUUGGAACUUUGGAUUUUAAGUGCUCUCUUCUAUUUUUAGAUGAAGUUACCCACAGCCUCAACUUGGAUUUGUCCUGUAAACGUUGGAGGUCACUGGAUUUUAGUGGUACUUUUCUUGAUUCUGUAUUUACCACAAACUUUAUUGGUAGUUUUUGGUGUCUAUAAAAUCUUUAGGGAUUGUUUUAGGUUUAACUAAUACAUUUUAACAGAUUGUCAAAAUGGAUGAAAAAUCCCUCCUUGUGUUAGACCCCCUCGGUAAUGAAAAUAUGUACCAGAGAAAAAUGCUUCGGAAUUGGAGGUGAUGUAAAACAAGCCUUUCUUACUGUGUUUGUAGACUUUUGUAUUUGAAUAUGUUUCUGAACUAAUGACUUGUACAAUAACAGAAAUUUUUGGAAGACAAGAAAUGUCAGUGAAGGCCCGUGGACGAUCCAAACUGCAAAACACAAUCUGCAGCAGGACGGCUCUAGUUGUGGAGUCUUAAUUUUGAUGUUUGCAGAGCUCAUUCUCCAAGGCAGAAGUGUCUGCGUUGCUC